Molecule: non-coding RNA, 83 nt
Organism: Suillus hirtellus
Lineage: Eukaryota; Fungi; Basidiomycota; Agaricomycetes; Boletales; Suillaceae
Source: the annotation of a GenBank genome assembly
GGCCUGGUGGUCUAGUAGUAUGAUUCCUUGUUAGGGUUGAUCUAUAUUCGAGGAGGUCCCGGGUUCAAUUCCCGGCCAGGCCC